RNAcentral lists this ribosomal RNA (326 nucleotides) under uncultured eukaryote. Its description in RNAcentral is "partial 18S ribosomal RNA". It matches the Rfam family "Eukaryotic small subunit ribosomal RNA", at positions 1470 to 1796 of the family's 1831-position model. The record is from RNAcentral.
CCCUUAGAUGUUCUGGGCCGCACGCGCGCUACACUGAUGCAUUCAACGAGCCUAUCCUUGACCGAGAGGUCCGGGUAAUCUUUGAAACUGCAUCGUGAUGGGGCUAGAUUAUUGCAAUUAUUAAUCUUCAACGAGGAAUGCCUAGUAAGCGUGAUUCAUCAAAUCGCGUUGAUUACGUCCCUGCCCUUUGUACACACCGCCCGUCGCUCCUACCGAUUGAGUGUGUCGGUGAGGAGUUUGGAUUGGCCUCGGAAGGUGGUUCGCCACCGUCCGUAGCUGAGAAGUUCUCCAAACCGCCCCACUUAGAGGAAGGAGAAGUCGUANCA